Molecule: long non-coding RNA, 266 nt
Filed under: Hordeum vulgare
Lineage: Eukaryota; Viridiplantae; Streptophyta; Magnoliopsida; Poales; Poaceae
Description: long non-coding RNA (HVUL_LNC006627)
Source: RNAcentral
GCAUCUCAACAGAAAGGGGAAAUAACUGUAAACACCACAAAACCAAACAUCACAUCACCCUAAGUUUGAUAGUACUAUUAAACUAAGUAACCUUUCUUGUCAGGGUUCUCUGAAGUCCAAAUACAUGCAUGAGAACUGUAAUAGGCAGCAAUUCAUCGGUCGAAACUACAUAUUGGUUGGUCUGCCACAGGAUCCACUGAAUGACAACAUUCUGUUAUGCCAUCAUGCGCGGUUCUGUGUCAGGCUCCAUUGCUUUCCCCUUGCUG